CUAUAAAUCAUCUGGGGAAGGAUGAGAACCUUCAGAAGGUUCGAGUCGCGCAACGCAAGACAACGUGCGAAGCACGGCCCGAAGGGUGAGGAACGAAGUGACGAAUAAUCCUUCCCGCACCACCA
RNAcentral lists this small RNA (125 nucleotides) under Erwinia typographi. RNAcentral's name for it is "RtT RNA". It matches the Rfam family "RtT RNA". Rfam says of the family: This family represents a bacterial cis-regulatory element known as RtT RNA. Lineage: Bacteria; Pseudomonadati; Pseudomonadota; Gammaproteobacteria; Enterobacterales; Erwiniaceae. The record is from RNAcentral.